UACGAAGGGGGCUAGCGUUGCUCGGAAUUACUGGGCGUAAAGGGCGCGUAGGCGGACAGUUUAGUCAGAGGUGAAAGCCCAGGGCUCAACCUUGGAAUUGCCUUUGAUACUGGCUGUCUUGAGUUCGGGAGAGGUGAGUGGAAUGCCGAGUAUAGAGGUGAAAUUCGUAGAUAUUCGGCGGAACACCAGUGGCGAAGGCGACUCACUGGCCCGAUACUGACGCUGAGGCGCGAAAGCGUGGGGAGCAAACAGG
This 253-nucleotide ribosomal RNA is filed under the name uncultured bacterium. Its description in RNAcentral is "partial 16S ribosomal RNA". It matches the Rfam family "Bacterial small subunit ribosomal RNA", at positions 524 to 776 of the family's 1533-position model. The record is from RNAcentral.